This is a long non-coding RNA of Oncorhynchus keta (chum salmon), 1795 nucleotides long. RefSeq lists it as uncharacterized. The record is from RefSeq and is a predicted model, not a curated record. NCBI's taxonomy places the organism in Eukaryota, Metazoa, Chordata, Actinopteri, Salmoniformes, Salmonidae. The transcript is spliced from 3 exons.
UUAUGUACCAUAGGCUCUGGUAGGCUGUUUGUCUCGUUAUGUACCAUAGGCUCUGGUGGGCUGUUUGUCUCGUUAUGUACCAUAGGCUCUGGUAAGCUGUUUGUCUCGUUAUGUACCAUAGGCUCUGGUGGGCUGUUUGUCUCGUUAUGUACCAUAGGCUCUGGUGAGCUGUUUGUCUGGUUAUGUACCGUAGGCUCUGGUGAGCUGUUUGUCUGGUUAUGUACCGUAGGCUCUGGUGAGCUGUUUGUCUAGGUAUGUACCGUAGGCUCUGGUGAGCUGUUUGUCUAGGUAUGUACCGUAGGCUCUGGUAGGCUGUUUGUCUAGGUAUGUACCGUAGGCUCUGGUAGGCUGUUUGUCUAGGUAUGUACCGUAGGCUCUGGUGAGCUGUUUGUCUAGGUAUGUACCGUAGGCUCUGGUAGGCUGUUUGUCUAGGUAUGUACCGUAGGCUCUGGUGAGCUGUUUGUCUAGGUAUGUACCGUAGGCUCUGGUAGGCUGUUUGUCUAGGUAUGUACCGUAGGCUCUGGUAGGCUGUUUGUCUAGGUAUGUACCAUAGGCUCUGGUAGACUGUUUGUCUAGGUAUGUACCGUAGGCUCUGGUAGGCUGUUUGUCUAGGUAUGUACCGUAGGCUCUGGUGAGCUGUUUGUCUAGGUAUGUACCGUAGGCUCUGGUAGGCUGUUUGUCUAGGUAUGUACCGUAGGCUCUGGUAGGCUGUUUGUCUAGGUAUGUACCAUAGGCUCUGGUAGGCUGUUUGUCUAGGUAUGUACCGUAGGCUCUGGUAGGCUGUUUGUCUAGGUAUGUACCGUAGGCUCUGGUAGGCUGUUUGUCUAGGUAUGUACCGUAGGCUCUGGUAGGCUGUUUGUCUAGGUAUGUACCGUAGGCUCUGGUAGGCUGUUUGUCUAGGUAUGUACCGUAGGCUCUGGUAGGCUGUUUGUCUCGUUAUGUACCGUAGGCUCUGGUAGGCUGUUUGUCUAGGUAUGUACCGUAGGCUCUGGUAGGCUGUUUGUCUAGGUAUGUACCGUAGGCUCUGGUAGGCUGUUUGUCUAGGUAUGUACCAUAGGCUCUGGUAGGCUGUUUGUCUAGGUAUGUACCGUAGGCUCUGGUAGGCUGUUUGUCUAGGUAUGUACCGUAGGCUCUGGUGAGCUGUUUGUCUAGGUAUGUACCGUAGGCUCUGGUAGGCUGUUUGUCUAUGUAUGUACCGUAGGCUCUGGUAGGCUGUUUGUCUAGGUAUGUACCGUAGGCUCUGGUAGGCUGUUUGUCUCGUUAUGUACCGUAGGCUCUAGUAGGCUGUUUGUCUAGGUAUGUACCGUAGGCUCUGGUAGGCUGUUUGUCUGGUUAUGUACCAUAGGCUCUGGUAGGCUGUUUGUCUGGUUAUGUACCGUAGGCUCUGGUAGGCUGUUUGUCUAGGUAUGUACCGUAGGCUCUGGUAGGCUGUUUGUCUGGUUAUGUACCAUAGGCUCUGGUAGGCUGUUUGUCUAGGUAUGUACCGUAGGCUCUGGUAGGCUGUUUGUCUAGGUAUGUACCGUAGGCUCUGGUAGGCUGUUUGUCUAGGUAUGUACCGUAGGCUCUGGUAGGCUGUUUGUCUAGGUAUGUACCGUAGGCUCUGGUAGGCUGUUUGUCUAGGUAUGUACCGUAGGCUCUGGUAGGCUGUUUGUCUAGGUAUGUACCGUAGGCUCUGGUAGGCCGUUUGUCUAGGUAUGUACCGUAGGCUCUGGUAGCAUGUUUGUCUAGGUAUGUACCGUAGGCAGUCGCAUUCAAACUGAGUAGCACUUUCAGGGAAGUCUUAACGCUCUCUAUC